CGCGGGUCGUGGGAAUACCACAUUUCUACUGUAGAGUGGAUUUCCCAAGAUCCGUGAU
Molecule: microRNA precursor, 58 nt
Filed under: Nautilus pompilius
Lineage: Eukaryota; Metazoa; Mollusca; Cephalopoda; Nautilida; Nautilidae
Description: Npo-Mir-1986_pre stem-loop
Rfam family: mir-1986 microRNA precursor family
Source: RNAcentral